Molecule: ribosomal RNA, 216 nt
Filed under: Glomeromycotina sp.
Lineage: Eukaryota; Fungi; Glomeromycota
Description: partial small subunit ribosomal RNA
Rfam family: Eukaryotic small subunit ribosomal RNA (bases 40-216)
Source: RNAcentral
GGGUCAGUAGGUUGGUCGUGCCACCGGUACGUACUGGUCUCACUGAUUCCUCCUUCCUGAAGAACCGUAGUGCCAUUAAUUUGGUGUUGCGGGGAAACAGGACUGUUACUUUGAAAAAAUUAGAGUGUUUAAAGCAAGCUAACGCUUGAAUACAUUAGCAUGGAGUAAUGAAAUAGGACGAUCGAUCCUAUUUUGUUGGUUUCUAGGAUUGACGUA